GACGAACCGUGCGAACGUUAUUCGGAAUUACUGGGCUUAAAGCGCGUGUAGGCGGGCCGGCACGUCGAGCGUUGAAAUCCCCGGGCUCAACCCGGGAACUGCGUCCGAUACUGGUGGGCUCGAAUCCGGGAGAGGGAUGCGGAAUUCCAGGUGUAGCGGUGAAAUGCGUAGAUAUCUGGAGGAACACCGGUGGCGAAGGCGGCAUCCUGGACCGGUAUUGACGCUGAGGCGCGAAAGCCAGGGGAGCAAACGGG
Molecule: ribosomal RNA, 254 nt
Filed under: uncultured bacterium
Lineage: Bacteria
Description: partial 16S ribosomal RNA
Rfam family: Bacterial small subunit ribosomal RNA
Source: RNAcentral